Molecule: ribosomal RNA, 95 nt
Filed under: Pseudo-nitzschia multistriata
Lineage: Eukaryota; Bacillariophyta; Bacillariophyceae; Bacillariales; Bacillariaceae
Description: partial large subunit ribosomal RNA
Rfam family: Eukaryotic large subunit ribosomal RNA
Source: RNAcentral
CCGGAUCUCAGAUCAAGCAAGCAGGACCCGCGAAUUUAUACAUAUAAUUAAGCAGANGAAAAGANACUAACUAGGAUUCUCUCAGUAAUGGCAAA